Molecule: small nuclear RNA, 106 nt
Organism: Molossus molossus (Pallas's mastiff bat)
Lineage: Eukaryota; Metazoa; Chordata; Mammalia; Chiroptera; Molossidae
Source: RefSeq, a predicted model, not a curated record
UUUGUAUACAGGAAAACUCACCGAUUUGAGGAAGGAUACAGAGAAGAUUAGCAUGGCUCCAGCACAAGAAUGACACGCAAAACUCACCAAUUUGAAAUACACAUUU